UUAGCCAGGCUGGUCUCAAACUCCUGACCUCAAGUGCUCUGCCCACCUCAGCCUCCAAAAGUGCUCAGAUUACAGACGUGGGUCACUGUGCCGGCCUGUAUUAAUAGUAAGUUUUGAAAUCAGCAAGUAGAUGUCUACAAUGCCAACCUUUUUCCUCUUACUCAAGAUUAUUUAGGCUGCUCUGGAUCUAUUGCAUUGCAUAUGAACUUUAGAAUAACCUUGUUAAUUUUGAGGAAGGAAAUAUCACCUGGGAUUUUGGUAGAGGUUGCAUUAAAUCUAUAGAUCUAUUUGGAAAAUAUUGCCAUCAUAACAGUACUAACCCUUCUAAGCAAUAAACAUUAAAAUAUUUUCUAUUUAAUUUUGUUCAAUAUGUUUUCUGUAGUUUUUGUGUACAUAUCUUACAUUUAAUUUGAUAAACAUGCCUAUUUUCAAUGCCAUCUUAAGUGGAACGGUUUUCUGAGUUUUGUUUUUAGAUUGUUAAUCGCUAGUGUAUAGAAAUUCAAAUGAUUUUAUAUGUUGACCCUAUAUACUGCAAGUUUGUUACUCAUGUUUAAGUUUUAAAUAUAUUUUAUUAGAGUCCUUUGGAUUUUUUUAUACAUAAGAUUAUGUCAUUUGCAAACAGAGUUUGACUUCCCUUAUCUGCCUUAUUUGCUGCAUGUUUUUAUCAUAGUGAGUUCAGGAAUUCUCAGGUGUUUCUGCAUGUUUUGAGUUGCUUAUAUGGUUUUGUUUUUUAUUAUAUUAAUAUAGUGCAUGGCAUUAAUUGUCCUUGAACAUGGUACCAAAUGUUGCUUUCCUGAGGUAAAUACCCUUGACAUAUUUUAUAAUACUUUUUACAUGUUGUUGAUUUGUUUCGCUAGGAUUUCUUUGAUGAUUUUUGGGUCUAUAUUCAUAAGGUGUGUUAUUCUUAAUUUUCAUUUUUUGCAAUCUGUUUGUCUAGUUGUGGUAUCAGGGUAAACUAACUCAUAGUAUAAAUGAAAUGCGAUGCCUUCUCCACUUUGUUGUUGUUGUUUUUAAGAAUUUAUUAUAAAUUAAUAUUAAUUGUUUAAGUGAUUCCAAUAACUCACUAAUGAAUUAUCUUGACUGGGGCAAGGAAGUGAAUCCUAAGAAGAAUCACGUGAGCUUGGAAGGAGACCUUUCCCCAACUGAGCCUCAGCCUGGGCCAUCAUCUACAUCUGGACUGAAGACCCAGAGAAACUACUCCCGUCAGGAAUUGUUUGGGAUCAUGCGUUCUGUGGACACUCACAUCCGGGAAUUAUAAUGCCAGUUGGCAUUCCUAAAGCUUCCACGCUAGCAGGUUUGGAGUAAUUCACCAGUGAAGUCUUCUUAACCUGGGCAAUCAUAUGAACUUGGAAGAUGAUCCGUCCCCAUCUCAUCUUUCAGUUGAAACCUCAGCCUUGGCCAUCACCUACAUCUGGAUUUCUGACUCAGAGAAACUACUGGCCGCCUGACGUGAAUGAAAAAAUUCCAACCCCUCCGUAUGUGGGAGGCAAAGGGACAGUACUCUCACAUGGUUACAAAGUCAAGUUCUCAAGGACAGAAAACAAGAGAAGAGGAAAAUGUCACUUUUUUUU
This is a long non-coding RNA of Cercocebus atys (sooty mangabey), 1571 nucleotides long. RefSeq lists it as uncharacterized. The record is from RefSeq and is a predicted model, not a curated record. The transcript has 4 exons. Lineage: Eukaryota; Metazoa; Chordata; Mammalia; Primates; Cercopithecidae.